Long non-coding RNA from Piliocolobus tephrosceles (Ugandan red Colobus), 1894 nucleotides. RefSeq lists it as uncharacterized. The transcript has 3 exons. The record is from RefSeq and is a predicted model, not a curated record. NCBI's taxonomy places the organism in Eukaryota, Metazoa, Chordata, Mammalia, Primates, Cercopithecidae.
GCCAAGGGCAGAAGACAGGCCAGCUGGCCCCACACCCAACCUUCUCCUCCCUGAAAACUCCACUUGCUACUUUUAAUCUAUUUCUCCUCCAUCAGACUGGAGGCAGCUCCAGGCCUUCUCCUGAGGCUACCAUCCCCCCUCUACGGCUUCUAACUUUGCAGGUCACUGGACAAAAGAGAACCACCCCCACUCUUCGCGAGACCUCAUUUGUCGCCCACCACCGCCCCACAUCGCGCAGGCUAGUGGCCUGGACUCUUCCCGCCCCUGGCGAACUGCGGGGAGGCUCUGCCAGAAGCCGCUCCCCUAGGGCCUGAGGGCGCACUCCGUGAGGCCCAGCCCGGGAGGCCCCCGGAUCCGCGCCAGGACGCCCCGCUCCUGCCUCAUCCCCACUACCAGGGGCCUGACGAAAAGCCUGCGAGGUUGGGGAGAGACCCUGGGGAGCGCCGAUCCAGCCACUGGACGCACACUCACCCCGCAUCGCCAAGGAGCCCGCGCGUCUGCUCUGGGGCCACGGGAAACCCACGCGCGCUGUUCAAUCCGGGCUCCGAGUGACGAAAAGCCGCGCUUGGCUCCAGCCGGCCCGGGACCCACGCACCUACCGGCGGACGCGCGGACAGUCUCGCUUCCUAACUAAGUUUGAAAGUUCCCUCCCCGGCGACCGAAGGGGACGCGGACUGCACAGAGGCACCCAGCCCAUCCGGGCUGGGCCAGGCGGGGCAGUGAGACCUGACGCCUCGGGUUCGGGGUUCCAGGCACGCCAGCCUCCAUCGCUGGGAACGCGCCCGGCGCAGCGCAGCGGGGACCUGGCUGGGGUAGGGGGAGGAGAUCCUGGAAACAUGGAGGAGGGAGGGUGUCCUGCACUACAGCCCCAGCCUGGAGGGAGGCCGGCUAACCGUUCCCGGGAGGGGACAGGCCUCGAUUGGCCGCCACCUACUCGGAAUCCGAGGCCCCGCCGGGCAGUGACUACCAAUUAGUAAACUGCCCAAUUAGUGUGCAGCGGCGCUGAGAAGUUAAACCUCGACGCGCGACUAUGGAUGACCGAGGUGUGGCCGUCCCUGGGUGUGACCGCGUGUGACUGUGUGGCCAUCAGGACCAUCUGUGCCUGAGGCUCACCGUCCAGCGGGGUGGCUGUGUGUGACAGUGUGCUCCUGGGUGAGGCGUUGUGGCUGCGAGCGUGUGACUGUCGAGCGACUUCUUUGUGUGACUGUCCCCCGUUGUGCCUGAGUGUGACAGCGGGUGAGGGCAUGUCACCGUGUGUGGGGCAUCGGAGCGUCUGUGGGUGACUCGUCUGUGGCGGGGAAGUGGAAGGAUGUCUGCAAUUGGAAAUGCACCCCCAAAAGAAGACAGCUUGUUGAAUGGAUACAGAAACAUGUAGAUGGAUAGGUCUCCCUCAUUCCAUCCAGCGAAUAGCAACAAAGUGUCAACACUGGGUUGGUGGCAGAUCCAAGUUCCACUAUUCCCUGCUCACCUCUGCUCAUGCCACAUCGGUUACUUCCUCUGCCUUGACCUCAACUAAAGGGAAUGCAGCGUUGUAUGGAGAUCACGUUUACAUGGGACCGCACUCUACCAUCCACCUUGGACAGCAGGAACCUGACGUCUCUUCGCAUGCCCCAGCCCAGCUCUCAGCCUGGCAGGCAGCAUAUCAUCCAGUAGCAAUGUUUGGUAAACACAGAGACAGAGACAAGGAAAAGUGUCCUGUGUCCAGUGACUGGAAUUUCAGAUGAUUUUUUCCCCUAACUUUCUUUAAUGAUGUCUGAUUGCCUUUCAGAUAAGAAAAACCCUCAGCUCACCCAGGGCCUCCCACAAUGCCCUCAGCAAGGCUUUUCGCCCAACUUUUUCAUCAGGAGGGGAGGAGCCAGCAUGCUGAAUUGCAAUUUUCUGUUUGCUGCUUGAC